This 699-nucleotide small RNA is filed under the name Pan troglodytes (chimpanzee). RNAcentral describes it as "processed transcript". The record is from RNAcentral. Lineage: Eukaryota; Metazoa; Chordata; Mammalia; Primates; Hominidae.
UCCUGAUGCCCUCAGGCCCUCUGCCCAGGACAUCAAUGAUGCCCAGGCCUACCACAGCCCCCCAGGAAACUCGGAAUAAGGAAGGAAAUCGUCUGUUCCCUCUGUAGCCCCCACUGGGAGCACCUCAGCUGCUGAGGACGGUGAUCUGCUGGCUCAGCCUUGGUACUCGGGGAACUGUGACCGCUAUGCUGUUGAGAGUGCCCUGCUCCACUUACAAAAGGAUGGGGCCUAUACCGUGCGCCCCAGCUCAGGGCCUCAUGGCUCCCAGCCCUUCACCCUGGCAGUGCUUCUCCGAGGCCGGGUCUUCAACAUUCCCAUCCGGCGGCUGGAUGGCGGACGCCACUAUGCCCUGGGCCGGGAGGGCAGGAACCAUGAGGAGCUCUUCUCCUCCGUGGCGGCCAUGGUCCAGCACUUCAUGUGGCACCCUCUGCCCCUUGUGGACAGACACAGCGGCAGCCGGGAACUCACCUGCCUGCUCUUCCCCACCAAGCCUUGAGGCCACAGCGAAGAAUGCAGGUGUCUGCCCAGUUCACUAGGUCCUGGAUGAAGGAACCGUGGUGGCCUAGACCAGUCAGGGGACAGCACAGGCACUGCCGGAACAGCAAAGGAUCCUCUCACAUCUACUUGUGGGCCUAGGGCACCCUGAGAGGGACUGGCCUACCUUGCACAAGUUCGCAUUCAAUAAACAUUUGUUGAAUG